Long non-coding RNA from Thunnus maccoyii (southern bluefin tuna), 453 nucleotides. RefSeq lists it as uncharacterized. Lineage: Eukaryota; Metazoa; Chordata; Actinopteri; Scombriformes; Scombridae. The transcript has 3 exons. The record is from RefSeq and is a predicted model, not a curated record.
GUUCUUCACACUGAGGCUCAAACAUUCAACUAUAGGAACAAAAAGAAAACUUAUAUAUUUUUGGGUUGAGGGGAACUUUAAGAGUUUGCACUGGUUUGUAAUAAAUAGAGCAGGUCACCAGUGAUGCAUUAUUUUGUACUGCUCAGGAGUUUCUCACCUACUGGACCUCAAUCAAGUUGGAUCUUUCACAUUUUGGUAUCAAAAAUGUUCAUCAACUCUGGACAAAUACAAAACAUCGGCCUGAUAUCUGAAGACUGCUGCUAACUAGCGUUAGCUACCUGCAGGCCAAUUACAGCACUUGGACGGACACAACAACGGAUUAGUAGAAGAAGAGAUGAGAGAGACACACAUGAAGAGGUGGAGAUAAUGAAAGGUAUGACCAUGAAAAAUGCAGAAACCGUGUAUAAGAAAUAACCCUGUGGGAGAACAGUGGUUGGAAUGAAAAGAGCAGAA